UGCAACAAGCUGUAGCUCAUGGGUAUAACGAAAGUAUGAUUUUGAAUAUGUGGAAUAGGAUUGCGAAAGAGUAUAACAACGUUCAAGAUAAUGAUAGAAACAGGCCUGAUGCAGCAGAUCAACAGGAGAAGAAACAUUAUAGUGUAGAUAUAAAUCCAAUCACACUGAAAUACAAAAAGAAACUAGGAAGAACCUCAGGUGCGAGAAUGUUUUUAAGUAGGAGAAAUAUGUUGUUUAAUCUGUUGAGAAACGACAAAGUUGAGCAUGACCGAGACUCUCUUCCAGGAGUUUGAGACACCAUUAUUAGACAAUGAAUUAAACCAGAAUUUUAGAUACAUUGGGUAUACGGCCAGAUCGCUGAAGAGACAAUUGGGUGAGCAUAAGAAGGAUGUUGAAAGUUCUGUCUCCACCACAGCAUUAGCGCAAAGAGCA
RNAcentral lists this long non-coding RNA (432 nucleotides) under Androctonus crassicauda. Lineage: Eukaryota; Metazoa; Arthropoda; Arachnida; Scorpiones; Buthidae. The record is from RNAcentral.